CCCAAGAGAUCGGGAUAACACCUGGAAACAGAUGCUAAUACCGGAUAACAACAGAUGAUGCCUAUCAACUGUUUAAAAGAUGGUUCUGCUAUCACUCUUGGAUGGACCUGCGGUGCAUUAGCUAGUUGGUAGGGUAACGGCCUACCAAGGCGAUGAUGCAUAGCCGAGCUGAGAGACUGAUCGGCCACAUUGGGACUGAGACACGGCCCAAACUCCUACGGGAGGCAGCAGCC
RNAcentral lists this ribosomal RNA (233 nucleotides) under uncultured Lactobacillus sp. Its description in RNAcentral is "partial 16S ribosomal RNA". It matches the Rfam family "Bacterial small subunit ribosomal RNA", at positions 129 to 355 of the family's 1533-position model. The record is from RNAcentral. Lineage: Bacteria; Bacillati; Bacillota; Bacilli; Lactobacillales; Lactobacillaceae.